ACUCAAAUGAAUAGACGGGGACCCGCACAAGCGGUGGAGCAUGUGGUUUAAUUCGACGGUAAGCGAGGAACCUUACCAGGGCUUGACAUAUACCUGCAUAUACUGGAGACAGUAUAGCCUUCGAGGGUGGUAUACAGGUGCUGCACGGUUGUCGUCAGCUCGUGCCGUGAGGUGUUCACUUAAGUGUGAAAACGAGCGCAACCCCUACGGUGAGUUACAAGUGUCUCACAGAACUGCCGGCGUCUAAGCCGGAGGAAGGUGGGGAUGACGUCAAAUCAGCGUGGCUCUUACGCCCUGGGCGACACACGUGCUACAAUGGGAAUCUACAGAGGGACGCCAAAGCGCAAGCUGGAGCAAAUCCUUUAAAACUUCUCUCAGUUCGGAUUGGGGGCUGCAACUCGCCCCCAUGAAGCUGGAAUCGCUAGUAACCGUGGAUCAGCCUCGCCACGGUGAAUACGUUCUCGGGUUUUGUACACACCGCCCGU
Molecule: ribosomal RNA, 485 nt
Filed under: uncultured bacterium
Lineage: Bacteria
Description: partial 16S ribosomal RNA
Rfam family: Bacterial small subunit ribosomal RNA
Source: RNAcentral